RNAcentral lists this long non-coding RNA (13376 nucleotides) under Homo sapiens (human). RNAcentral describes it as "HSALNT0380785". The record is from RNAcentral. Lineage: Eukaryota; Metazoa; Chordata; Mammalia; Primates; Hominidae.
UAAAAAAAAAUCUAAAGAAAGGAAUCUUUAGCUAUCUCAACAUCAAAAAGAAAAAAGCUGAGGUUUUCAAGAAUGUGUGCACACGUGCAGUGUGUAUGUGCAUGUUUGUGAUUUAUUGAGGGCUAAAAAGAGAGCUGAUAUUCCCUCUAUAUACACUAAACUUAUAACCACUCUCACCUCUAACCUAGGACCAACACUACACAACACACACACAUCCCACUCAUAUAUUCAUACAAAGUGUACUGAGUCCAUCUGAUGAACUAAUCUAAUGAUAGAUUUGAUAUCUAAUCCUCACAACUACAUUGCAAGGUAUAUACUAUUUUCUCUACUUUAUAGAAGAUGAAACUGAGCCCCUGAAGGCCUAAGGUCCGGCAACAUGUAAUAAAAGGAAGCUAGAAUUGGAACCCUGGUGUGUUCAAUUCCGAAACCAGCCCUUCUUCCACUACUCCUUCCUCAAAAGGCCUUCUAAGUCGUCACUCUCCUAGCACUGGUUACAAGAAAUGUCGGUGGGAGUGGUUGUUUUACGAUAAACCACUCUGAUAAAAAAAAUGCUCCAAUGAUUAUUUUUGAGAUGUCAGAGCUGAAAAUGUACAGAUUUCACUGGACGAAGAACCUGCCAAGUGGUGAUUGCACAACCAAAGCACUGCAAGGAACCAAGGAGGCCAAAUGUGUGUUGGAAAAAUCACAGAUGUCAUCUGGGAAUGCUCAGAGCCUUGGGCUUUCACGCUGAGACAGACUCGCUUCCACCGGAACCUCAGCCUUUUAAGGCUAAAUCAAGGCCGUGACUUCCUCAGCUGAAUCAACCUGACACUGUUCCCUGAGCUCACUGGGAUCCUAUUGGCAGAGCGUCAGCCCCGUCAUGGAAAGAAUGCCUCCACCAGGGAGGACUGGGUUAGUCCCCAUCCUGAACUGGAUCAUAAACACCCACCUUGUCAUAAAGCUGCUGUGAGUCUUACAAUGGGAAGAUGGGGGAGGCAGCACACUGGGGUCAGGAGUGGAGAUACUUAGGCUCCCCAGAGAAAUUAGUCACAAGUCUUAUCCCUUCAUCUCCAUUUACAGCCAUUUAUUUGGGAGCAACAUACUUUAAAUGAGUGAUAAACAAAAUGUCUCCCCACAGCCCCCACCCCAGCAUGUGUUCUGAAGUUCACAGGAAGGCUUCUCCUCAUUUGCUUUGGGGCCCGCAGGCUGCCUGCUAACAGCUGGGUCUUCCCAUGAACAAAUUAGACAGUUAAUGUUCCAGGAUGAAGAGGGCUUCGGGGAACAGAAUCUGCCGUUUAUUUGACUUGCUUCAUUAGACACAGUGCCAUCAUACCAAAAUUAGAAAAAAGAAGGAACUCAGCGGAAAUCAGCUACACAAGAAGAACCUCUCAGUUCUGAGAAUUCACAUUAACCAGUGAUUAAGAAAUAUUAAAAAGGGCUGAUAGUCCACUACGUUAUCAAGUUCAAAGCCUAAGAAAUAUUGAACAUUUCCACACAUGAAUGUGGGUACUAUGUUUAAUUUGAGAAUGGCCAACUGUCCUCGAAGUCUCAAUCUCUUUGGAGCCUACCAGCUCCGAGAGAAGUUUGAGGAUGCUGCAAAACCCUCCCCUGCAAAUCCAUCUACUCCUCCCACUUCUAUCCUAAUGGGUAUAGUUCUUGGCUGUGCUGAGGAUCUGUAAGGCACCAGAUGUGAAAGUAAGGAAGAAAGAUGGAUGUGGAAGAAAGUCACUGCCCAGAGAAUAAGGAGACCUGGAUUCUAAUCUCAGCUCUGCCAUUAACUAGCUAUGAAACUAUGGCUCAAAAGGGAAUAAGAGAUCAAGGCAAGCAUGGACAUCUUGUACGUGGAAGUGCAGACCAGAACUUGUAUCACAGCCAGUCAUAUCUGGUGCUUUCCAUGCUACUUUUACAUACAUGUAUCCUUAAAUUUGAUCCUCUUCUAGUUUAGUCUAAACUCUUUACUUUGUAACUUCCAAACCUAAAAGGUGCAGCAGACAUUGACAAUCUUAAUUCAUUUGUCAGGUCAUUUGGUUUCUUGGUUUCCUAAGGGACUGUAUCCUUCCUGCCCUGCUAAUGGGGAGACUUUUUGUUUUUUGUUUUCUGUUUUCCUUAAUAAGUGAGGCCAAGUGCUGUGUGUAACUGUGGGGUGGGCAAAAUUAGGAUUCCUGAAUCACUUCACUUUUUGUUGCCUUUCUCUUGGGAGAAUGGUUACCAUUGCAGAGAAGCAUAGUUAAAAUUGCUUUUGUGUUUCAUAAACGAAUUCAUACUUAGAUGUCAUUGACCAACAACUAAAUAGUAUAUCAGAGAUGAAAGGCAUCCUAGAGAUGACCAAAUCAAGCUCUUCAUUACUCAAAGGAGAAAAAAAUCCAGAAAGUGGAUGACAUAUGUUGAACUAGUGAUGGAAGUAGAACAGGGUAGUGUAUUUUCUGCCUCUUAAUUCUUCAUUUUUUACACUAAACCAGAUAUUAGGUAUAUGACUAGGAAGAUACGUGAGGUAAGGAGCAGAGGGUUUGGCUCCAAACUCAUCAUGUAGUCAUCCUCCUCCAAGCUCUGAGAGCUUCUCUCACAUGUUAAUUCAGAGGCAGUAACAAAAGAAUUAAUGCUCCUGAAGGUUUCUCAAUUUUAUCAUCUGGAAAGUGGAGUGAACCUUUGCAGAGUCCUUCUGAAGAGGGCUGACCUUGGACUGCACUAGGUUAUAUUCAUUUGCUAUUACUCAGCAAUAAAAAGUAAAUGCAACAAUAUAAAUGAAUCUUAAAAACAUAAUAUGGAAAGAAAGCAGCCAGACACAAAAGAAUACCUCCUGUUUGGUUUCAUUACCAUAAAACCUAGAACAGACAAAUGAAUAUACUAUGAUUUUAAAAAGAUCAUUAUGAUCAGAAAGCACUUGCCUGUUACAGGAAGGAGAUGGGGAUUGACUGGAAAGGGGCAUGAGAAAACUGUAUGAAAUAUUAUAUAUGGUUUAUAUCUUGUUUGGGGGUGGAUACAUAGCUGUGUAUAAUUGUCAACAGUCAUUGAACUGAGCACUUAAAAUCUCUGCAUUUUAGUGUAUGUAAAUUAAUUUUUAAAAUUAUUUUAAAAGAAAAGUAAAAGGAUAGAAAAAGAUAUACCAUGAAAACAGCAAUCAUACAGAGUUGGGGCAGCUAUACUAAUACUAGAUAAAAUAGUCUGUAAGACAAAAACUUAUUAGAGAUGAAGAGGGACAUUUUAAGUGAUGACAAUUUAUUCAAUAAGGAAGAUGUAACAAGAAUAACAAGUAUGUAUGUACCUAAUAACAAAAUCCCAAAAUACGUAAAGCAACAACUGACAAAAUUGAAGGGAAAGAUAGACAAUUCAACAAUAAUAGUUGAGGACUGGAAUACCUCACUUCCAACAAUAAAGAGAAAAACUGGGCAGAAAACCAACUGGGAUACAGAGACUUGAAAAACAUUGUAAACCAAGUAGAAUCAACACACAUCUAUAGAAAACUCCACCCAACAACAGCAGAAAAUACAUUCUUCUGAAGUGCAUACGGAACAUUCCACAGAAAUAUAUGAUGUGCUAGGCCAUAAAAUAAGCCACAAUAGAUAAUAAAAGACUGAAAUCAUGUAAAUUAGGCUCUAUGCCCACAGAUUUAGAAAUCAAUAACUAAAAGAAAUGUGGGGAAUACACAAAUAUGUGGAAAUUAAGCAACACGUUCAUAAAUAACCAAUAGGUCAAGGGAAAAAAAUAUCACAAGGAAAAUUAGAAGAUACUUGAGAUGAAUGAAAAUAAAAAUACAGCAUACAAAAAAAACCAUGGGAGGAAGUUAAAGCAGCAUUAGAGCUAAAUUUAUAGCAAUAAAUGCUUAUUUCUUUAAAAAAUAUCUCUAAUAAUCUAACCUUUCAAUUUAUGAAACUAUAAAAGAACAAAUGAAACUGAAAGCAAGCAAAAAGGAGAAAAUAAUAAAAUUUCAGUAGAAAUAAAUGAAAUAAAAAAUAAAAUACAUAAAGCAACAGUUGGUUCUUGAACAAAAUUGACAAAUCUUUAGCGAAACUUUAGCAAAAAAGAAGGAGGACUCAAAUUACUCACAUCAGGCAAGAAAGAAGAAACUUGACUACUAACUUUACAGAUAAAAAGAAUUCAAGGGGGAUAAAACGUAAAAAAAAAAAACCUCUAUUGCUAACAAAUUAAAUAAACUAUAUGAUAUGGACAAAUCCCUAGAAAGACACAAAUUAUUGAAACUAACUCAAGAAAUAGAAAAUCUAAAUAGACCUAUAACAGGUAAAAAGAUUGAAUUAGUAAAUAAAAACUUCCCACAAAGAAAGAUUCAGGCCUAGAUGGCUUCCACUGGUAAAUUCUCCCAAAUAUUUAAAGAAGAAUUAAUACCAAUUGUUUAUAAACUCUUUUAGAAAAUAGAAGAAAGGGGAACUCAUUCUAUGAGUUCACUAUUACCCUGAUACCAAUGCCAGACAAAGGCAUGAGAAAAAGAGAACUGCACACCUUUAUGCAUCCCUAUCCUUUAUGAAUAUAGAUGCAAAACUCCAAGAUGAAUCCUGAAACAAAUAAAAAAUUGUACCACAACUAAGAAAGAUUUCUUCCAAGAAUUCAAGAUUGGUUUAACAUCUGAAAAUCAAUUUAUAUAAUAUGCCACAACAAUAAAGAAAAAAAUCACAAUUACUUCAAUAGAUGCAUAAAAUAAUGGAUAAACUCCAACACUCAUGAUUAAACAAAAAAAGAAGAAAACGCUUAAACCAGGAACAAAAAUUAACUUCCUCAAACUACCAGAAACUUACAGCUAACAUCAUACUAAAUUGUAAAGAAUCAAAUGGUCUUCUUUCACUCUCAGAUGUGAAAAUCUCCUAUGUAGAAAAUCCCAAGGUAUCGACAAAAAACAAAAAAAAAAGCUAUUAGAACUAAUAAAUGGGUUCAGCAAGUUUGCUGGAUACAAGAUCAGUAUAGAAAAAUCGAUUGCAUUUCUAUAUAUUAACAAUGAAAAACCAAAAUAAAAUUAAGAAAAUUCUAUUUAUAAAUAACAUCAAAAGGAAUAAAAUUUUUAGGAAUAGAUUUAACAAUUUAAGUAUAAAAUGUAUAUGCUAAAAACUACAAAACACUGUUGAGUGAUACUGAAGAUUAAAAUAAAUGGAAAGAUACACCAUGCUUAUGAAUUGGAGGAUUUAAUAUCGUUAAGAUGGCAAUACUUCCCAUAUUAAUGUACAAACUUAAUGCAAUUCUUAACAAAACUCUUCUGGUGUUUUUACAGAAAUUCACAAGGUGACCCUAACAUGUAUAUAAAAAUGCAAGGGAUCCAGAAUCACUAUAACAAUCUUGAAAAAGAAUAACAAAGUUGAUGGAUUCACACUUCCCAAUUCCAGAACAUACUACAAAGCGACAGUAAUCAUAAUGGUGUGGUACUGGUAUAGGGAUAAACAUAUUAAUCAACAGAAUAGAAUUAAGAGUCCAGUAAAUCCUCACAUUUAUGUUCAAUCGAUUUUCAGUAAAUAGGCAAGACAAUUCAGUGGGCAAAGAAUAAUCUUUAACAAAUAGUGCUGGACAACUGAAUAUCACAUGCAAAAGAAUGAAUUUGCACCCUGACUUCACAAUAGACACAAAUUAACUCAAAGUGUAUUAUAGAUCUAAAUGUAAGAGCUAAAUUACAAAACUCUUUUCAAAACAACUACAAAAUUCAAUCUUCAUGAUCUCGGAUUAGGGAAUGACUCUUCAAAUUAGACACCUAAAGCACAGGUGAUAAAAGAUGGCUAGGUUGGACUUCAUCAAAAUCAAAAACUUUUCUGCUUCAAGGGAUAUUUUUAAGAAAGUAAAAAGAUAACCCUACAGACUGAGAGAAAAAUUUUGAAAAUUGCAUAUUUAGUAAGAUACUUACACCCAAAAUAUAUACAGAACUCUUACAACUCAAUAAAGACAAACAGCCCAUUUUUUUCCAUGAGCAAAUGAUUUAAAUAGAAAUUUCUCCAAAGAAGACAUAUGAAUGGCCAACCAAUAAGCACGUGAAAAAUGUCAAUAUCAAUAGCUAUCAGGGAAAUGCAAAUCAAAAUCACAAAGAAACCAGGGCAGAGUGCCAGAUGCUCCGUACCUUGAAAAGGUUCAAGGAAACUUGAAAGAUCAGAUGACAUUUUUAGUGUAAUCUACAAGUCACUCUUCAAAUGACUUGAAGAUGACUACCUGAAUAUAUACAAUAAAAGUUGGAAAUAUUCAUAGAUAAUAUAAAAUUGAGACAAAAAAGGUCUAGAAAGACUGCAAUGUCAAGAUAUGUAUCAUCAAUUCCUGUACGCUACAGUUAAAUUUUGUUCUGAGUUUUCUGGUGCCAAGAAAAUAGGAAAGGGGUGGGCAAUACAGUAAGAUACAAAGAAAGCUUUUAUUUCAUGACACUUAAUUCUAAAAGAAUAAUCAGGUGAUAUGAAGCCAAUUUCUACAGAUAUGGUCUCUGUCCUCCAAGAGCUCAUAACUCAGAGAAAAAUAAAUAUGCAAAUGAUUAAAAUCAGUGAGGUAACUGCUAUGAAGGACGUAUGUACAAGCUAUACUGGAGGCAUAAGAGAGAGAGUUACCAUUCAGAUGAGGUGGACUCAUGCUCUGAUGUGGUAACAUAUGAGGUAGAUUGGGUAGGAAGGUAAGGCCAGUAGAGGGUGGGAGAACAUUCCAAGCAUCUGCAGAGAUUAAAAUUACCUAAGACGUUUGAGAAAUUGUAAGUGGUCUGAUAUGGCUGCAGUACUGGAUGUGAAGAUAAAAUUAAUGAUAGCUGAGGGUGGCAGGAAAGCUGGGAUCUUGCCAUGUAUAGCCUUAUAUGUCAUGCCAAGGACUUUGGACUUUAACCUGUAGGCAAGGGGAACCAUUGACUGGCAAGCCCUGAGUAGAGAGUCUAGGCCUUAUAAUGGGAAGUUAGUUUCCAGAGAUAACCUAAAGAAUUCCUGCCUUUAGGUUUAAUUCCAAAAGGGUAGUAAUCCACAACCUAGCACUCCAUAACAGUGAUUUAUAUUGGAAUUACUCUCCAAAUUGGAAGAUAUGGUUAAUCUGGGAUUAUAGGACGUGUAAGCUCAAAGUAAUUUCCAUUGUAACUCGUAUAGCUUUCUACUCAGCCCAUGACAUUCCUACCUGGUUCCAGUUCUUGCAAUUCAAAGAGAACAGGUCAAUGUCAGUGUUAACAUGUGGGUAUGAAAACAGCAAGUACCCGCAUAUGAAUUGGAACUGGGCUCACUGAAGAAAGCAUGUAAUUGGAGUGGGAAUAAAAGCAUCCAACUAUUAUACUUGUGUGUGUACACACACACAUUAGAUAUACUGCUACAGAUAUAGAUAGAUGCCAGGUGUGCUGGUCACUUUGCGAAUCUCAUCACACUUUACCUUCAUGACAAUCCAGAAAGGUAAGUACUAAUCCCACUUCACAGAUCAAGACUAUUCUUACUUACAGAAGUUAACAGUGCUCUCUCACUGGCUGGAUUGGCAUGGAUGCCUAUUUUUGAUAGUAUUUCUAAUCCUUACCACUGAAAGCAUUGGAAUGACACUUCAUGUAUUUUUUUCAGUAGAGAAGUAAUAGAAACUAUUCCCCUUAAAUGGCAGAUGUGAUAUCUCAAGCACAAAAGCUUGGGUGACUCACUCAAGUCAAUAACAACUGUAGGACAGGAGCAUUUCCAGUUGGCCCCGUAUUCCUUCUACUUAGUCUUUUUUGUUCUCAUGUAAAUACAAAGUCAUAAAUUUGUGGGGGUUCAUAUUGGCUUUGUUCCUUUUCCCAUCUAGUUACCACAAGAGACCUUUCACUCUCCCUAGUGACACCAUUCAACCUCUACAUAACCCUACAACAAAUACCCACUUCACUACCAUAUCACAUGGCCAGACCAGUGGUCUUUUCCUUUAAUGUUACAUAGAAUAAUAUUAUUUCUCCAUCAAUUAACUCUGAUUGGAAUCAUGAUUAUCACUAGUUUUAUUCUUCAGGCUUGAUAGAGUACCAGCUGUGUCCAACAAAUGUAACAACAGUGGCUUCCAGCCAAGUGCAACUGAGGUUUUUACAAGAAUAGAUACUUCGUGUAUUCUAAUGACAAAAGCACAUAAAUGAGGACUAAUAUUCUGUCUGUGGCAGAGAGAAAAUCCUCUUGACUUUGAAGAGGUUCAAAGGCCCACACACACAGAAAACUGAGUGCUCUGUCAUGCUAUCUGGAUCAAGGGACUCCCCCAAGGGGCCGGCAUCCCGGCCUUAGAAAGAUGUCUGGGCCCUCAUCACUGAGGCCUUUGAAACCUUGUACCAGAAACCCCCAGGGGUGCCUCUCCAGCCUGCUCCCCUGGAACUUCUCAGGUACCCAUGACACAGCCAGAUAACCAGCCAGUUGUCACCUACCAUCUAGGACAGUCUCUUACUCCUACCUGUCCAUGCAUGCUCACUAAACUUGCCCUGCAGCAGAAGUAUGAAUGACUCUUUAUUAAAAUAGACAGGAAAAACAAUAGUGUCUCAUCUCACACCUGCACUAGGAAAAAAUCCUCUGUCUUCCUCUCUCCCUUCUGGGCCCACUCCCUCCAAGUCAUCUCAGAGCUGCUGCCAGCAGCAUGUAAAAUAUGAAUCUGACUUUUUGACCCAUCUGAUUAAAAACUGAAGUUGGAGCACCUCUGGCAGCAGAUUGAAGUCCAAACCCCUUCAAAAAGUAUUCAAGGGCCUUCACAACCUGAUUUCAACAAUAUCCUGAACAGUUUUCCCAUACACUGGAGCUCUGGCCUUCCCAGGUCCUCCAGUGAUACUCAUCUUGCUCAUUUGGCCAUGGAUAAAGGAGAAAAGAGAGAGAAGUUCCCUUUCAGCACCCUAACACAUCUCUUAAUACAGCCUCUAAGUCUUUGAGUCCUCCAGGAGCCAGCAGCCAAGUCCAAACUAAAAGCAUCACAUGUUGUUUUGGAGAAAGAAGCCAGGGUGUCCACAGUAAUAUAAAUACAGAGACAGAUAGGACGAGCAGGCCCUAUGGAGAGAGGCCAAGCCUGAGAAAGUCAAAGGGCUUUGAGCUCUGAAUUAUGCUCUGUCAAAGAAAAAAAAAAGUAGAAGAUAAAAGAGAAAGAAUAAACAAACUUCUUCAUUUUUACUUUUCACAAAAAAGUCUCUUCUGGAAGCAGCAAAUAAAAUCUUCCCAACUCACUGGGUGCUGAGUAGAGUGUUAAGACACUAGCCCUUGAAGGAAGAAUGAAUAAGCAAUUCAAAGUGGGCUUUUCUGCCCUAGGCUAAAUCUGAAAUCAUCCAUUUUGCCAGCAGUAUUCUGUCUGCCAACCUACCUGCAAAGAAAGGGGCCAUUUAAAACUUCACAUCCACCCGAGAUGGCUGUUGUACAAAACACACACUCACAGGCUCCCCUCAAAGCCUAGUAAGGAAGAAGGAAGAAGGAAAAAGCAAAGGAAAUAUCUGGCAGCUCCUAGACUUUAGGAAUUCCACAAACAAAGCCAUUGCCAACAUCUAUUUGACAGGAUGUAUAGAGAGUUCAUAAAGUAAGUGUUUAUAGAAAUUCCAAAAUGUUUAAAACUAUCUCUUGAUUUUUGAAGGUCACUGUAAUCUAGUCUAUUGGAGAAUGCUAUUGUAGAGUCUUUGGCUAUUGUUACUUAUACCUGCAUAUAUGAAAUCACCACUCCUAAAAACCACGAAUUAGAAGGCUGAUUUGUUUAAAGAAAUACUGUUGUCCAUGAUGGAAGAAGGAUGCUAACUCACAGAGAGAAUGAUGCUGCCUGUGGAACAGAGUCGGAGCUGGCUUUUAUGGAACCUAUUGUCACUUUGAUUAUACACUGUCUAGGACAGGACUGAGGCCCACAUAAUACCAAGCAUACCACAAAUACGUAAGUUCGCUGUUGAGUUUGUUUCUUUUUAUUGUUUAAGAAAAAAGAAUGCUGGGGUUUGAGUUGUUCUUUUACACCCAGAACACACUACACAUCAGAGAUGUGCUGACACCGUGCUUUUUCUUUUUUAUAUAACAAGAAAAAGUGGCAUAGAGGGAAAAAGAGGUCAAAUUAAACAUCAAGGUAGCUAAAAGGAAAAUUGUGUCCGCUGCUCUAAUAUCACAAUCCCAAGGAGAACUGCAGACAUUUGUCCUCGAGUUCCUCAGGUUGGUAGGCAGAAAUUACAUUAUUUUCCUGAAUAUUCCUACUGUAAAAUAGUCAUGGUACUUCCUGCUGGGAGUGCAAAGAUGAAUAAGAAAUGCCUUCUAAUCUUAGGGGAUUCAUUAGGUAAAGUUCAUCCAGGUGACCAACUACUGCCCUCAUUUUGGCCCCAAGGAUUCCUGCCUUCUGUGCAUCUUUCUCCACCCUUACAUGACUUGAUCUGGCAUCACCUUGUUAAUGCUUCCUUGGAUCUAUAAACCUGACAAUGACCUCUCACCUCUCCCAAGAGGAUUUGCAUAAAUCCAAACACCUAUAGGUGGAUGUCUUCCCAUUGCUUCAAGCAUGAACUAAGCCAGGUACCUUCCUUUGUCAGACUUCCACCCAUCCAAAUGGGCUUCCUUCCAAGUGGCUCCCUUCCCUGCCAUACCAGCUCCACUCUUUUAGUCUCCUACUUUUUACUCCUACUUCUCCUUCAGCCUUUUAUUUCUAUCCUGUCACCAAGUCUUAGCAUCUGUCCCAUCAGCGAUUUUUAGGUCUAUUUCAACUUAGAUCUAUGCCUCACUAACUCACAAAAGAAGAAACUGGCAUCUUUGUCCCUUCCAACUAAUUUUGCAAGAUAUGUUUUCCUAACUUUGCAAGAUAUGUUUUUCUAAAAGCAUUCAUCAUUAUUUUCCUGUUUAUGAAACUUGAUCGAUCUCCCUUUUCUCUGUCUUGUCAAACAUACACCCUUUCAAAACCCUCUAUGGCCUAACCUUUCUCUGGCUAUACAAUGGUAUUUCAACCAAUCCCUAUCAUCCUAGUCUAUUCCAAUCAGGCUGUUACCAUCUCAAUGCCUUUGUUCAAACUGUCCUCCACCUCACCAAAUCAUUGUCCAGGAACAUGAUUCAUUCAGUCAAGUAUUCAGCAAGCAUCCAAUGGACAAGAUACACUAUGCUGGACACCAGGACACAACAGAGAGCACGACAGGCCCAUUUCUUGCCCUCAAGAGUCUUAUAUCUAGUGCUGCAACAAUUAGCCCAUCUCCCAAGAAAAACUUUGAUCCUUUCCUCAUGCUUUAUAUUUUGAAAACCUUGGUAGAGAAAAAGUUUCUUUUAAAAAAAGAAAAACAUUUCUUAACAAGCAAAAGCAAUUAAAGUAAUGUAUUUAAAUUUAAUGUAAAGUAUGUAAAUUGAAUGAAUAUUUAUGUAAAUAUGCAUGUAAAUUUAAAACAUUUUCUAAUCUGGUUGGAAAUGGAUUUCCAAAAAUAAGUAAUAGAAAAGAAACAAUAGAAUGUUAAACUCCUUUAUAGCGUCAUCACCCGCCUCCCCCAGGAAGCUUUAUAAAACAAAAUUAUUUUUAAAAUUCACCCAUUACGGAAUUUUCCUUCUUUAAAUAUCCAUGGUCCUUAGUCCAGUGCUUAGUUAUACUCUUUUGUUUUGUGUAUGAUCGCUUUUGCCCUGUGGACACAUACGCUCUAAAUAGAGACACACAGCUUGGCUCUGUGCUUGUUGUGUAGCCCUGACAAUAAUAAAGCAACGAGCGAGCUUCACAAAUAUGCCACAGUGGAUAUUACGCUCACACAUAAAAACAGACCUGUAUAAUUUAAAACUCAACCUCAGUAAUCCAAAAACCCAGUAUAGCAGGCUUGAACUUCAACAUCCAUCAACAUUUUCAACUAGAAGAAAAUCAGACUCUGUUGAGCCUUCUCGUCAGCCUUUCCUGCCUACAGCCAAGAGGAUGACAGGCAAAAAGAACGGGGUGGAAAAGCAAAGGGCAAUUCACAUGUGAACUAGAUUAUAGAGCCAUUUGUUUCUACCUCUAAAUUUUUAUCAUGCGGGCCUCAAAUAAACUUGUCACCAGACAUCAUGUGGGCUUUUGGACCUAAAACCUCUAGAAGUUUUUGAUAUGACUCUUAGUUUCUGACACAACUAUUUUUAGUGAAAUAACAUUGCCUCUGCUUCUGUGACAUUUCCCAGAACAACAGUUAAUCUGAAAUCAGACAGAGGGAAUUUUAUUUUGAUCUAAACUUUCGCUCAAUGAGAGAGUCAGGGAAAGCCAUAUCCUGUGUGUUCAAGUCCCAUAAUAAAAGCUGCGUAAUUUAAAUGGAGUCAGGUCACACUCUGUUCUUCCUUGAGUCAGCUGCUCACCUAGAUUCAAAAAUAGGGACCAAAAAAGAUAAACUGGCUUGGUUCCUAACUGCUAAUGUGGUCUCUAGGAACUGAAAAACCACAUGAUCCACCCUAACUGAAGCAGAAGAUUACAAAAAGCAGGUCCCGCCUUGACCAUCGCCUCUGUUUCUAAUCCUUUCCCAAAGCUGCCAAGUGCAUCCUGGAAGGGCCACUUAAACUCUCUAAGCGAAAGUCAAAAUAGAAUGGAAAAUUCUGGGAACUCUGACUAUGCAACACCUUGUUGUCAUUCAAAGUUUUCUCUUUAAAAAAAAAUUUUAUUGCUGCUGUUUAGUCAUUUGUAUACCUCUACUGUUACAACUAACAUGUUUGUCCACUGUUGAGUAAGCCAUAGUGCAAACACAGUUUCAAACACCUCACCAACAGUCCAAAAUGUUAAUCUUGGGGCUUAACAAAUGUUAACUACAACCUGGAGAUAUAGUUCCAAUAUCCUUAUAAUUAAAUAGUAAAAUUAUUAUGCUCUUUCCCCAGUCAUGUCUGCACUAUUGUUUCUAAAUGUAUCCACAGGUUGCCAGUAAUGAUGUUUCUGGUGAUCUGGCUCAGAAGGCUGAGCUGAUGAGUGAUCACUCAGAAAUACUGAAUCAGGCAAUGGAAAUUCUGAAUCGGUGGGCUCUGGAGAAGGAACUGAGGGCGAGGUGACUCGGGGCCGGAGGGCUAUUAUGGACUAUGGACAAGCUGAAGGCAUGGGAAGCCUGACCAGUAGAUAGAGGAAUAUGAACUUGGUGGACAGGGAAAAGCAGGGACGUCAUGAACGAAAGACCACAGACCCUCUGUUCUAGUCCAUGGGGCCAGGCUGUGCUCCACUGCCUACUCUUGGAUUCCCCAAAGAAUGCUUUAUGUCCUUAUAAUAAAUCCACCUUUCCAUGGACAAAAAUGAGUGUGUCUCUGUGUCUUCAAACCUGAGAGCUAAAACCAAAAAACAUAACUUAUGAUGCUGUAGAAGAAACUUCUACCCCUUUGUACGCAUGGAGAUGUUUCCCAAAUCUACACAAUGAUAGAAAUAACUUGCUGCGUUAAAAAGUAUAGAUUGUCAAGCUCCUCCUCUGUAGAUUGAGUCCAAAGUUCUGACUUGGGCCCUGAGAAGAUGUUUGUAUUCUUAUAUUCAGGCAAGUUUGGGCCAAAUUCAUUGAAGUGAAUUCUGAGAUCCUUUCAAUUGCAAAGUCAACAAAUACAAACUAAUCAUUCCUCUAUACAUAGGAGUAGUUUAAG